GCGCCUGUAGCUCAGUGGAUACAGCGUCCGUUUCCUAAGCGGAAGGUCGUAAGUUCGAACCCUACCUGGCGCG
This 73-nucleotide transfer RNA is filed under the name Triticum dicoccoides. RNAcentral describes it as "tRNA tRNA-Arg". It matches the Rfam family "tRNA". From Rfam's summary of the family: Transfer RNA (tRNA) molecules are approximately 80 nucleotides in length. Their secondary structure includes four short double-helical elements and three loops (D, anti-codon, and T loops). Lineage: Eukaryota; Viridiplantae; Streptophyta; Magnoliopsida; Poales; Poaceae. The record is from RNAcentral.